RNAcentral lists this long non-coding RNA (507 nucleotides) under Manihot esculenta (cassava). RNAcentral describes it as "long non-coding RNA (MESC_LNC011985)". The record is from RNAcentral. Lineage: Eukaryota; Viridiplantae; Streptophyta; Magnoliopsida; Malpighiales; Euphorbiaceae.
GAUCCUCGGUAGUCUUGGCUCGAGCCUCAACAGUGGCUCGAGCCUCAACAGUGGCUUUUGCAGCAUUGGCCUCAUCUAGAUCUACUUCUCAACAGUGGCUCGAGCCUCAACAGUGGCUUUUGCAGCAUUGGCCUCAUCUAGAUCUACUUGAAACUUGUCUACAGACUCCGGGGUCUCCAUCGUGUGUUCUACCUCAAUAACCCUAGCCUUUAGUCGUGAGCACUCCUCUUAUAGGAGGUUUUUGUCUGUCUCCUGUGCUCCAUACUCUCUCCUCAGAGCCUUGUUCUACUCCUUGGCUUGGUACGCACACAAGGCACCCUCCAUCUCAGAAUGGAUGAUGUUGUCAUAUAAGUCAUCCGUCUCCACCGCGUUCAGCCGAUGGCAGUCCCCAAGCCUCAGGGCAUUAUUGACAAUGAGGAUGAACAAUAAGGGCUCCCCAAGAAGUGAGUUAGCCCGUGUCAGCGCCAGUGCCAGUUGUUGAAUGCCCCGCAACCAUGGAGCUCUGGU